CCGACCUUAGCUCAGUUGGUAGAGCGGAGGACUGUAGAUUGUUUACUGAAAUCCUUAGGUCGCUGGUUCGAAUCCGGCAGGUCGGA
RNAcentral lists this transfer RNA (86 nucleotides) under Salvia splendens (bonfire salvia). It matches the Rfam family "tRNA". Rfam says of the family: Transfer RNA (tRNA) molecules are approximately 80 nucleotides in length. Their secondary structure includes four short double-helical elements and three loops (D, anti-codon, and T loops). Further hydrogen bonds mediate the characteristic L-shaped molecular structure. tRNAs have two regions of fundamental functional importance: the anti-codon, which is responsible for specific mRNA codon recognition, and the 3' end, to which the tRNAs corresponding amino acid is attached (by aminoacyl-tRNA synthetases). tRNAs cope with the degeneracy of the genetic code in two manners: having more than one tRNA (with a specific anti-codon) for a particular amino acid; and 'wobble' base-pairing, i.e. permitting non-standard base-pairing at the 3rd anti-codon position. The record is from Rfam by way of RNAcentral. Lineage: Eukaryota; Viridiplantae; Streptophyta; Magnoliopsida; Lamiales; Lamiaceae.